RNAcentral lists this ribosomal RNA (488 nucleotides) under uncultured Parasegetibacter sp. RNAcentral describes it as "partial 16S ribosomal RNA". The record is from RNAcentral. Lineage: Bacteria; Pseudomonadati; Bacteroidota; Chitinophagia; Chitinophagales; Chitinophagaceae.
CACGGAGUUAGCCGGUGCUUAUUCAUCUGGUACCGUCAAACCAUUUAGAAAAAUGGCAUUUCUUCCCAAAUAAAAGAAGUUUACAAUCCAGAGGACCUUCAUCCUCCACGCGGCAUGGCUGGGUCAGAGUUGCCUCCAUUGCCCAAUAUUCCUUACUGCUGCCUCCCGUAGGAGUCGGGCCCGUGUCUCAGUGCCCGUGUGACUGGUCGUGCUCUCACACCAGUUACUGAUCGAAGGCUUGGUGAGCCGUUACCUACACCAACUACCUAAUCAGCCGCACAGCCAUCUUCAAGCGAUAAAUCUUUAAUCACUAAGUGAUGCCACUCUAUGAUCCUAUGGGAUAUUACUCCAAGUUUCCCUGGGCUAUCUCCCACUCGAAGGAAGGUUCUGUACGUGUUCCGCACCCGUUUGCCGGUCGUCAGCAUCUGUAUUGCUACAGACCUGCUACCCCUCGACUUGCAUGUAUUAAGCCUGCCGCUAGCGUUCAU